Molecule: long non-coding RNA, 2528 nt
Organism: Ictalurus punctatus (channel catfish)
Lineage: Eukaryota; Metazoa; Chordata; Actinopteri; Siluriformes; Ictaluridae
Source: Ensembl
UUAGCACUUCUGGGGGUUGAUUUUCAUUAUAGAGAAACCACAGAACUAGCCAGCUAAGUACACUGCUGUAACAUAGCUGUUACUGUGUAUUUGAAGAAACGUGGCUACUGAAUAUACGGUCAUAUCCACCUUUUUCCCAAGAAACCAGUGAGCUUCACCAUGAUGGAUUCUAACCACUGUUUUUCUGCUCCAGUCUCUAUAGGAACCCUUAUUAAAAUUGGCUGAAGAGAAUGAUUUGAAUUAAUUAAACAGAAACUUUUUGAGUGUUCAUAAGAAUAAACAUGAGUUCAGGGUCAAGCUGUGCUGUUGUUGGCUGCCACAACAGCAGCAAAAAAAUGUAGGAAGUCCUGAAAAAUACUUGUUUUGAGCACCAGCAAACCCAAAAAGAAUGUCCGUGUUCGGCAAUGUGUGCCUUGCGUUCUGUUUUAAAUAUUGGUGAGAGGAAACAAGCAUGGUUUGCAAUGAUGAAAUUAAAAUACCUCCUAAAGAAGUUAUGUGUGUCCUCUUAUCAUUUUGUGUGAGCCUUUCAAAGCAUACUCAAUUUGACAUGUACGUGUACACAAACAGUUGACGCAUGUGAAUAACGGCAACUUGCACUACACCUCCUGGCCUACAAGUGUCAGUACAGAGCAGUAAAGCAGGUCUUCUGGUGUGAAGGACGACAAUGAAGAAGAAUCACAACAACACGAAGAACAAUGCUUGGGCAAUCUCUCGCCAAGAUUAGCACCCUUAGACAAAUCCUUAUACUCUUUAAGUACAUGCGGUCGCACGUGUGCAUUUAAUUCUUUUGCACUAUGUAGUUGUUCCACAAGGUGGCAACAGUGACCCAGGACAGUUGAUUCUCAAGAUAGUUGAAGAAUAAACGGAAGAGAUGGAAACGAGUGCAGGUUAGAAAGUACCCGCAUUUGUAUAAUUCUAGUCUUAAAGAGAAUAAGGAUUUGUAUAUGGGUGUUAAUCGUGGCGAGAGACUGCCCAAGCAUUGUUCUUCAUACUGUUGUGAUUCUUCUUCAUCUCUGGUGUUUAUAGUCAAAUGUGUGUAUGUUCCUAGCUGAUAACGUGAUCUUAAACGUGUGAGAAUGGUUUUAAAAAGGCAUAUGGCUCCAUAGUGACUGUCUUUUGACAGUGCCUCACCCAUCAAAGUUUAAUGACCGGGUAGAUGACAUGAAAAUAUGGCCUGACGUUAGCUAAAAUUCUAUAAUUAACUACUUUGUUUUCUCUAAAGGAGUUGAUGGCGAAGAACUCAGAAAUUACAAACGCACAGAAGCAUAUACAGUAAUUACCUGCACAGCAAUUAAAUAAGUCAGGUUUUGUACAGCAACACUGCAACUUUAUUUUUUGAAAGCGGAGCUAGAGCCCAAUUAGAACAUUAGCCAGGCUAAACACCCAGCUUAGGUGACUAGCUUUUGGUGCUUGGUAACAGGUGGGCGUUCAUAUCCUAGAUACAGCUCUGGAUAGGGGUGAAGUUCGGAGGGGUUUUCCGGAGGGGCUAUAAUUAUAUCUGUGAUUAUCAUUUUAGCCACUAUUUUUAUAAUCAUCAGUUAGCCAUUAUUCUAUUUUAACAGUGUGACACCACUGGACAUUGUUUACAGCUUGUCUAUGCUGAUCAUCUGUACUGAGGAAAUUCAUAAUUUGUUCAUAAAAGCUCAAUUUCAUAAGCAUGGUAUACUGUAAUAACACACACUAAUAAACAGUUCCACAGACUCCUGCAUGCUCCCCGCCCCUGUAGGAGUCUAACUAAGGCUUUAUAACAUUUCAUGUCAAGAGGAAUUGGGUCACCUGAGUUCAUGCACCAGAACAAUUUUUCUGGGUUUUUUUUGUUGUUGUUGCAAGUUUUCAGGGAAUUAUGUGAAUUCAAAUCCAAGCCAGAUUACAAUUGUUGGACUCUUGAGCAAAGUCCUUAACACUCAACUACUCUCAGGUGCUAGUCAUGCUUGUCUCCAACUUCGCUUUGAUUUAGGUAAAAAAAAAAUGUAAAAACUCCCUUGGGCUUACACUGCCGAGGCAACACAGUCCCAAUGCCACACCUUUAGUUUUAAACCAUAAACUGUGUGUAUGUACUAUCUCAAGCACGCAAUCUUUAUUCACUAUAUUUCACUGUUUAUACAGAUUUGGAGUAACCAUUUUUAAAUAUGUGGAAAUACACAUAAAAUCCACUUAGAACUGUUGAACAAAAAUAUCAAUGAAACCAAAAUAUGCAAGCUGCUUGUUAGAAAGUGAAAGUAGUAAACAUUUCUGCAACCAACAGGCAGCACAAAAAAAGUUGACAGCCCCACAAACUCGUUCACAGGCUCAUGUUUCUAGGCUCAAACUCGGUCCUAGACACUACAUUCUAAAUAAAAAGCAGGAAAAGCCAUCAAGCUCCUAUAUGAACAGCUAAACAUGAGCCCCAAGCCUGCUGUAACAGCUCAACGCUCACACAUCUUGGGGAAUUUAAAGCAGCUGCCCCUCACCCGUGCCCUCUUUCCUCAUUUCCUCUUUACAAUGUCUCCUACACUGAAGUUCACCCAGAAGUGUAUUAAGCACUGAGC